CAAUAGCGUAUAUUAAAGUUGUUGCAGUUAAAAAGCUCGUAGUUGAAUUUCUGUCAGGAGUGACCGGGCCUUUGGAUGAACUUCCAUUGUUUUUUGCUCUGUUUGUCAUCUCUAGACAUCCUAAAUUACAUUUCUUGUAAUUUUCUUUUACUGUUAGCAAAAUAGAGUGUUCCAAGCAAAGCGUAGUUUUGAAUACAUUAGAAUGGAAUAAUAAGAUAGGACUUUGGUGCUAUUUUGUUGGUUUGCACACCAAGGUAAUGAUUAAUAGGGACAGUUGGGGGUAUUCGUAUUUAAUUGUCAGAGGUGAAAUUCUUGGAUUUAUGAAAGACGAACUACUGCGAAAGCAUUUACCAAGGAUGUUUNCAUUA
This 368-nucleotide ribosomal RNA is filed under the name uncultured eukaryote. RNAcentral describes it as "partial 18S ribosomal RNA". It matches the Rfam family "Eukaryotic small subunit ribosomal RNA", at positions 592 to 975 of the family's 1831-position model. The record is from RNAcentral.